UCGCCGAUGCCAAGCUGCCCGACAUGCAGGCCGGGUGGGAGCAGGCCACGUCGAACGUGAUGGCGGGGCUUGCGGGGCUCAACAUGGUCUACGAGGCGG
Molecule: regulatory RNA element, 99 nt
Rfam family: Pyrrolysine insertion sequence mttB
Source: Rfam